RNAcentral lists this unclassified non-coding RNA (364 nucleotides) under fungal sp. Its description in RNAcentral is "partial internal transcribed spacer region". The stretch from base 1 to 46 matches the Rfam family "Eukaryotic small subunit ribosomal RNA", at positions 1786 to 1831 of the family's 1831-position model. Lineage: Eukaryota; Fungi. The record is from RNAcentral.
AAGUCGUAACAAGGUAACCGUAGGUGAACCUGCGGUUGGAUCAUUAACAAAUUCAACUCUUUGUUAAAGGGGUUUGACCGUGUUUCACAUGUGUUACGCCCCUUUUUCAAACACCCUUAUGUGAACUGUUUAUUGUCUCUGGUGCGGUUAAAUGUAGACUUUGAAGUAUGUGCGUGGGGGGGUGGUACAUUCAUUUGCUACCUACCUCUCUACCCACACCAAACUUUUCGUCUAUGGAGAGACGGUAUCGUCUCUUCACCCACCGUCAAACACUUUAACUAUUAAUGCUAGUCAACAUUCGUCUAACCCAAGUUAAAUUUUUAAUUGAAAAAAACAACUUUUGACAACGGAUCUCUUGGCUCUC